Molecule: transfer RNA, 69 nt
Filed under: Rhinolophus affinis (intermediate horseshoe bat)
Lineage: Eukaryota; Metazoa; Chordata; Mammalia; Chiroptera; Rhinolophidae
Description: tRNA-Trp
Source: RNAcentral
AGGAAUUUAGGUUAACAUAGACCAAGAGCCUUCAAAGCUCUAAGCAAAUGAGCAUACAUUUAAUUCCUG